This 549-nucleotide ribosomal RNA is filed under the name Cortinarius leucopus. RNAcentral's name for it is "eukaryotic LSU rRNA". It matches the Rfam family "Eukaryotic large subunit ribosomal RNA", at positions 1 to 545 of the family's 3401-position model. Lineage: Eukaryota; Fungi; Basidiomycota; Agaricomycetes; Agaricales; Cortinariaceae. The record is from RNAcentral.
UGUGACCUCAAAUCAGGUAGGACUACCCGCUGAACUUAAGCAUAUCAAUAAGCGGAGGAAAAGAAACUAACAAGGAUUCCCCUAGUAACUGCGAGUGAAGCGGGAAAAGCUCAAAUUUAAAAUCUGGCGGUCUUCUGGCUGUCCGAGUUGUAAUCUAGAGAAGUGUUAUCCGCGCUGGACCGUGUACAAGUCUCCUGGAAUGGAGCAUCAUAGAGGGUGAGAAUCCCGUCUUUGACAUGGACUGCCAGGGCUUUGUGAUGCGCUCUCAAAGAGUCGAGUUGUUUGGGAAUGCAGCUCAAAAUGGGUGGUAAAUUCCAUCUAAAGCUAAAUAUUGGCGAGAGACCGAUAGCGAACAAGUACCGUGAGGGAAAGAUGAAAAGAACUUUGGAAAGAGAGUUAAACAGUACGUGAAAUUGCUGAAAGGGAAACGCUUGAAGUCAGUCACGUCGUCCAGGGAUCAACCUUGCUUUUGCUUGGUGCACUUUCUGGUUUGACGGGUCAGCAUCAAUUUUGACUAUUGGAAAAAGGCUCUAGGGAAUGUGGCAUCUU